Molecule: ribosomal RNA, 497 nt
Filed under: uncultured bacterium
Lineage: Bacteria
Description: partial 16S ribosomal RNA
Rfam family: Bacterial small subunit ribosomal RNA
Source: RNAcentral
GAUGAACGCUGGCGGCGUGCCUAAUACAUGCAAGUCGAGCGAAAAGACGCGGCGCUUGCUCCUCUCACGUUAGCGGCGGACGGGUGAGUAACACGUGUAUCCCCUCCCUAUCUGACUGGGAUCACUUCGGGAAACCGGCGCUAAUCCCGGAUAAUCUAUUGCACCGCAUGGUUCAUUAGUGAAAUACGGCUUUGCUGGAACUUAUCGCUGGAUCCGCGCCGCAUUAGCUAGUUGGUACGUUAAAGGCUUACCACGGCAACGAUGCGUAACCGACCUGAGAGGGGGAUCGGCCACACGAGAAGGGAGACACGGUCCAGAGUCCUGCGGGAGGCAGCAGUAGGGAAUGGUCGGCAAUGGGCGAGAGCCUGACGGAGCAAGGCCGCGUGAGUGACGAAGGUGCUCGGAGCGGAAAACUCGGUUAUUAGGGGAGAACAAAUGUGGAAGUAACUAUGCACGUCUUGACGGUACCGAGUCAGAAAGCCACGGCUAACUACGUG